Molecule: ribosomal RNA, 499 nt
Filed under: uncultured bacterium
Lineage: Bacteria
Description: bacterial SSU rRNA
Rfam family: Bacterial small subunit ribosomal RNA
Source: RNAcentral
CGCUGGCGGCGUGCCUAAUACAUGCAAGUCGAGCGAAUGACAAGGAGCUUGCUCCUUGAUUAGCGGCGGACGGGUGAGUAACACGUGGGUAACCUACCCUAUAGACUGGGAUAACUUCGGGAAACCGGAGCUAAUACUGGAUAAUACUUCGAAACACAUGUUUUGAAGUUGAAAGAUGGUUUCGGCUAUCACUAUAGGAUGGACCCGCGGCGCAUUAGCUAGUUGGUGGGGUAAUGGCUCACCAAGGCAACGAUGCGUAGCCGACCUGAGAGGGUGAUCGGCCACACUGGGACUGAGACACGGCCCAGACUCCUACGGGAGGCAGCAGUAGGGAAUCUUCCACAAUGGACGGAAGUCUGAUGGAGCAACGCCGCGUGAGUGAAGAAGGAUUUCGGUUCGUAAAACUCUGUUGCAAGGGAAGAACAAGUAGCGUAGUAACUGGCGCUACCUUGACGGUACCUUGUUAGAAAGCCACGGCUAACUACGUGCCAGCCGCAGC